This 497-nucleotide ribosomal RNA is filed under the name uncultured bacterium. RNAcentral describes it as "partial 16S ribosomal RNA". It matches the Rfam family "Bacterial small subunit ribosomal RNA", at positions 28 to 507 of the family's 1533-position model. The record is from RNAcentral.
GAUGAACGCUGGCGGCGUGCCUAAUACAUGCAAGUCGAGCGAACGGACGAGAAGCUUGCUUCUCUGAUGUUAGCGGCGGACGGGUGAGUAACACGUGGAUAACCUACCUAUAAGACUGGGAUAACUUCGGGAAACCGGAGCUAAUACCGGAUAAUAUUUUGAACCGCAUGGUUCAAAAGUGAAAGACGGUCUUGCUGUCACUUAUAGAUGGAUCCGCGCUGCAUUAGCCAGUUGGUAAGGUAACGGCUUACCAAGGCAACGAGGCAUAGCCGACCUGAGAGAGUGAUAGGCGACACUGGAAGUGAGACACGGUCCAGACUCCUACGGGAGGCAGCAGUAGGGAAUCUGCCGCAAUGGUCGAAAGCAUGACGGAGCAGCGCCGCGUGAGAGACGAAGGUCUUCGGAGCGUAAAACUCUGUUAUUAGGGAAGAACAGAUGUGUCAGUAACUGUGCACAUAUUGACGGUACCUAAUCAGAAAGCCACGGCUAACUACGUG